UCAGCCUUCUGAGUAUCUGGGAUCGCAGUUGUGCACCACCACGCCCAGAAAAAUUGAGUGGUAACUGAAGAUGGCAAAACACCGCAUCAGAACGACUCAGUCACAGUGGCAAUUGUUUUGAAAGAUGAUGAAAGAAGGGCUAGCCUGAAAGAAACUUCUGCCUUCUUUGGAAAUGAGAUGCAAAAAGUAUGGCUCCCUGCUACAACAAAAAUGGAUCCCCCAAGGAGGACAUAACUGGAAUUGCUGUCAUUGUUACCCCUUUGAAAAUCUCAGCCAGCUAGAGGACCAGAGACAUUCUCAUCAAGAUUAAAGCCAGAGCAACCACCACCAACAAAUGAUGACAAAUCCCUGCCAGGAUUGGAGUGGGUUUGAAUGGCAUAGCUGGCCCCUGGUACUCCUGAGUGGUUAGAUCGUCAGUCUUACCUGUUCAUUUUGUUAACCUCAUAGUAGUACAGCAACAUAUUUUACUUGUUUGAAUUGUUUGUGUUAGAAUCAGGUAUUAACCUUGUAGGCAACAUGGAUAAUAUAUUUCUGUAGUUCAACAUAAUUUCCAUUUUAAAUUCACAAUUUAUUAGAGCAGCAGAAAAUAAUGUCAAUAAAAUUGAAGCCUCUUUUUCUUAA
Molecule: long non-coding RNA, 621 nt
Organism: Homo sapiens (human)
Lineage: Eukaryota; Metazoa; Chordata; Mammalia; Primates; Hominidae
Source: Ensembl